AAAUUUACUUUCUUUAUUUUAUAAAAUAAAAUUUGAUUUUUAGAUUAAAAAGUCUAGAUAUAUUUAGAGGACGAGAAGACCCUAUAGAACUUAACUUUUUUUUAUAAUAAUUACUUACUUGUAAAUGAUCAGUUAUUAUUUUAUAAAAAGUUUUAUUGGGGUGAUAAAAAAAAUUUUUUAACUUUUUUUAUUUUUUUCAUUUAUUUAUGAAUUUUUGAUCCUUUAUUAAGGAUAAUAAGAUUAAGUUACCUUAGGGAUAACAGCGUUAUUAUUUUGGAGAGCUCUUAUUAAUAAAAUAGUUUGCGACCUCGAUGUUGGAUUAAAAUUAGUGUUAGGAGUAGAAUAUUAAUCACUAGGUC
This 359-nucleotide ribosomal RNA is filed under the name Compsidolon schrenkianum. RNAcentral describes it as "partial large subunit ribosomal RNA". Lineage: Eukaryota; Metazoa; Arthropoda; Insecta; Hemiptera; Miridae. The record is from RNAcentral.